Leopardus geoffroyi (Geoffroy's cat) is the source of this 1051-nucleotide long non-coding RNA. RefSeq lists it as uncharacterized. The transcript is spliced from 4 exons. The record is from RefSeq and is a predicted model, not a curated record. Lineage: Eukaryota; Metazoa; Chordata; Mammalia; Carnivora; Felidae.
CUUAUUAAACUUGAAUGACUGAUAAGACAAGUAAUUGCGCCAGAAGAAAUGCUAAUUUUAAAAUGUCUCUAAAUUCCUGAACUUCACACGUGGGAAGUCCAGUGACCUGGGGUAGCUCUUGGGAAUUAGUAAUCCGAUACAGAAUCUUUCCCCUUUGUGUCACCUGUUACAAUUUGGCUUCCCUUUGCUGGGACUGAAAAUCAUUACCAGCUGACAGCUCUGUGAAGCCUGAUGUCUGCAACCAAAGCGACGUGUAGAAUGUUGCUGACGCCGGGCAGGAAGAGGAAGUGCCUAUUUUGAUUAAUUGAAUAGCCGUGGAGUGGAAAAAGAUCUAUUUGCGAACACAGCAGACUGACUAGUACUUAGAACGAAAAGAGAGUGGAUCCAGAGGAAACCAGGAUCUCCCGGAUCACACCAUUCACACGGCAGCAGAUUUUGGAAACCACAUUGACUUUUUUGGCUGCACUCAAGUGAUAUCAACUAAGAGGACCCUAUCAGGCUUGAAGUGCAUUGCCACAGUGAAGCUACUUCCGCUUCUAUUGAAAACACCAUCUCACGAUGAAACUCAAACCCAAUUGUCACUAUGGAAACCACAGUAAAGAUAGGGAUACAGUUUCAAAACGAAAACUCUGCCUGGAACUGGGAGACAGGUUGGCUGCUCGUGUUUUCCUCAGUGAUAUCCUGGUCUGUGGGGUCAACGCUUCACUUGGUCAUAAAGGGGAGGCUUGUGUCCCCUGGACACUUUCUGCCUUCGCUGUCAGCCCUUGACUGUUUCUGAGCCCCUUCCCUAGGCCCGUAAUCAUCCGAGCCACUUGUCUCCAGCAAGUUCGAAGGUCGUGAGGUGGAUCUUCACAUUCUUGUGAAUAACCGAGCACUAAGUACAGACUCAAAGCUGCAGCAGCUGUUUUGUGUUUUUGCCUUGCAGUCUGGUGUCCUAACCGGAACCCUUUAUGUCAGGACAUUAUCCACUUGAAAAAGUUUCCAUUGAUGUCAUGGAUCAGAAACUCGAUCGCUCUUUACAAUAUACAGACAGCCCUUUUGAGGUGCUUCU